Molecule: ribosomal RNA, 1267 nt
Filed under: Lactiplantibacillus plantarum
Lineage: Bacteria; Bacillati; Bacillota; Bacilli; Lactobacillales; Lactobacillaceae
Description: bacterial SSU rRNA
Rfam family: Bacterial small subunit ribosomal RNA
Source: RNAcentral
UGAGUAACACGUGGGAAACCUGCCCAGAAGCGGGGGAUAACACCUGGAAACAGAUGCUAAUACCGCAUAACAACUUGGACCGCAUGGUCCGAGCUUGAAAGAUGGCUUCGGCUAUCACUUUUGGAUGGUCCCGCGGCGUAUUAGCUAGAUGGUGGGGUAACGGCUCACCAUGGCAAUGAUACGUAGCCGACCUGAGAGGGUAAUCGGCCACAUUGGGACUGAGACACGGCCCAAACUCCUACGGGAGGCAGCAGUAGGGAAUCUUCCACAAUGGACGAAAGUCUGAUGGAGCAACGCCGCGUGAGUGAAGAAGGGUUUCGGCUCGUAAAACUCUGUUGUUAAAGAAGAACAUAUCUGAGAGUAACUGUUCAGGUAUUGACGGUAUUUAACCAGAAAGCCACGGCUAACUACGUGCCAGCAGCCGCGGUAAUACGUAGGUGGCAAGCGUUGUCCGGAUUUAUUGGGCGUAAAGCGAGCGCAGGCGGUUUUUUAAGUCUGAUGUGAAAGCCUUCGGCUCAACCGAAGAAGUGCAUCGGAAACUGGGAAACUUGAGUGCAGAAGAGGACAGUGGAACUCCAUGUGUAGCGGUGAAAUGCGUAGAUAUAUGGAAGAACACCAGUGGCGAAGGCGGCUGUCUGGUCUGUAACUGACGCUGAGGCUCGAAAGUAUGGGUAGCAAACAGGAUUAGAUACCCUGGUAGUCCAUACCGUAAACGAUGAAUGCUAAGUGUUGGAGGGUUUCCGCCCUUCAGUGCUGCAGCUAACGCAUUAAGCAUUCCGCCUGGGGAGUACGGCCGCAAGGCUGAAACUCAAAGGAAUUGACGGGGGGCCCGCACAAGCGGUGGAGCAUGUGGUUUAAUUCGAAGCUACGCGAAGAACCUUACCAGGUCUUGACAUACUAUGCAAAUCUAAGAGAUUAGACGUUCCCUUCGGGGACAUGGAUACAGGUGGUGCAUGGUUGUCGUCAGCUCGUGUCGUGAGAUGUUGGGUUAAGUCCCGCAACGAGCGCAACCCUUAUUAUCAGUUGCCAGCAUUAAGUUGGGCACUCUGGUGAGACUGCCGGUGACAAACCGGAGGAAGGUGGGGAUGACGUCAAAUCAUCAUGCCCCUUAUGACCUGGGCUACACACGUGCUACAAUGGAUGGUACAACGAGUUGCGAACUCGCGAGAGUAAGCUAAUCUCUUAAAGCCAUUCUCAGUUCGGAUUGUAGGCUGCAACUCGCCUACAUGAAGUCGGAAUCGCUAGUAAUCGCGGAUCAGCAUGCCGC